AUUUAGAUAGUUUAAUUUUAGAAUUAUAAUUUGUGGUAUUAUAGGUGUUAUAAUAGAACUCUAAAUU
Molecule: transfer RNA, 67 nt
Filed under: Dinomachus sikhimensis
Lineage: Eukaryota; Metazoa; Arthropoda; Insecta; Hemiptera; Heterogastridae
Description: tRNA-His
Source: RNAcentral